This 253-nucleotide ribosomal RNA is filed under the name uncultured bacterium. RNAcentral describes it as "partial 16S ribosomal RNA". It matches the Rfam family "Bacterial small subunit ribosomal RNA", at positions 524 to 776 of the family's 1533-position model. The record is from RNAcentral.
UACGUAGGUGGCGAGCGUUGUCCGGAUUUACUGGGCGUAAAGAGCGCGCAGGCGGUCGUGCAAGUCGCGUGUGAAAGCCCCCGGCUCAACUGGGGAGGGUCACGCGAUACUGCUCGACUCGAAGGCAGGAGAGGGAAGUGGAAUUCCCGGUGUAGUGGUGAAAUGCGUAGAUAUCGGGAGGAACACCUGUGGCGAAAGCGGCGCACUGGACCACAACUGACGCUGAGGCGCGAAAGCUAGGGGAGCAAACAGG